GGGCAGGUAGCGAAGUGGUUAAACGCAUCAGACUGUAAAUCUGACGGCACACGCCUUCGGAGGUUCGAAUCCUUCCCUGCCCA
This 83-nucleotide transfer RNA is filed under the name Ignavibacteria bacterium. RNAcentral's name for it is "tRNA-Tyr". It matches the Rfam family "tRNA". Rfam says of the family: Transfer RNA (tRNA) molecules are approximately 80 nucleotides in length. Their secondary structure includes four short double-helical elements and three loops (D, anti-codon, and T loops). Lineage: Bacteria; Pseudomonadati; Ignavibacteriota; Ignavibacteria. The record is from RNAcentral.